GUGGUCAUUUUGCUUGAGAGAGGCAGCGGGCACCGGCUCUCCACGCACCGCGAACAUGAGCGACGUCUCCCGGCACUCUGCAGCCCGCAUCGGCACCCGUUUGAGAGGAGCAUGCACCGCCUCGUCCGCGGAAGUGAUUGGCCGCGGUCGCUUCCUCGCCUUCUGAUGCGUCAAGUCCAUGAUAUCCGUCUCGUCCAUUUGAAAAGGAUUUUAUUCUUAUUUUCUUUCUUUUUUUCUUUUUGGUAGGCAAACGGCACCUGCCAAACGCGAGGAGGCGGUUCGGGAGCACGGCGGGGAGAACGUGGCUGUCUGGCGAAGCAGCUCGCUUGCAAUGGCUGGGAGAAGUCAAAGCCCCCGACAACAUUAGCAUCGCAGCGCCCGGGGCUCUUCCAAUCGAGGCUGUCGCUCUUUCAGUGGCAGCAGAAGGCAAGGGGAGCUGCAGGGCAAACGGGAGAGAAAUCACAUGGCUGCUCUUCAAAAGGGGACCUGUGUAAGGCAGCCGGCAAAGUGCGUGGGAUCACACUCAGAAUGCAGGGUCACAGGUAAGCUGGAGCCUAUCCCAGCUGACCUCGGGCGAGAGGCGGGGUGCACCUUGAACUGGUCGCCAGCCAGGGUACGUACUGUCUAUCCAAACAAGCAUGCACACGCAGAGAGCAC
This is a long non-coding RNA of Dunckerocampus dactyliophorus (ringed pipefish), 657 nucleotides long. RefSeq lists it as uncharacterized. The transcript is spliced from 3 exons. Lineage: Eukaryota; Metazoa; Chordata; Actinopteri; Syngnathiformes; Syngnathidae. The record is from RefSeq and is a predicted model, not a curated record.